AAAUCUCACCAAGGUUGGGCUUUUCGGAGCACAGCUUUUUGAGUGGAUUUGGAUGCUUUGUUUCGACAAUCAUCUUAAAAUGAUAGUGUGUGCAUCCAUCGAACAUUCGAUGGGUUACCAAAGUGCAACAGAUUUUUCUAUUUCGCUUUGGGAGCUUAUUGAAUUGGAUGGGAGCAUAUACCCAACUUCUUAACAAAUGUCUUGCCCUUGGGUGAAAUAUUUGAUA
RNAcentral lists this unclassified non-coding RNA (226 nucleotides) under uncultured Spizellomyces. Its description in RNAcentral is "sequence contains ITS2". Lineage: Eukaryota; Fungi; Chytridiomycota. The record is from RNAcentral.